CGGGGCGUGGCGUAGCUUGGUAGCGCACCAGUAUGGGGUACUGGAGGUCAGUGGUUCAAAUCCACUCGUCCCGACCA
Molecule: transfer RNA, 77 nt
Filed under: Chloroflexota bacterium
Lineage: Bacteria; Bacillati; Chloroflexota
Description: Chloroflexi bacterium tRNA-Pro
Rfam family: tRNA
About the family: Transfer RNA (tRNA) molecules are approximately 80 nucleotides in length.
Source: RNAcentral